GGGUUGUGAGGUUAAGCGACUAAGCGUACACGGUGGAUGCCCUGGCAGUCAGAGGCGAUGAAGGACGUGCUAAUCUGCGAUAAGCGUCGGUAAGGUGAUAUGAACCGUUAUAACCGGCGAUUUCCGAAUGGGGAAACCCAGUGUGAUUCGUCACACUAUCAUUAACUGAAUCCAUAGGUUAAUGAGGCGAACCGGGGGAACUGAAACAUCUAAGUACCCCGAGGAAAAGAAAUCAACCGAGAUUCCCCCAGUAGCGGCGAGCGAACGGGGAGCAGCCCAGAGCCUGAAUCAGUGUGUGUGUUAGUGGAAGCGUCUGGAAAGGCGCGCGAUACAGGGUGACAGCCCCGUACACAAAAAUGCACAUACUGUGAGCUCGAUGAGUAGGGCGGGACACGUGGUAUCCUGUCUGAAUAUGGGGGGACCAUCCUCCAAGGCUAAAUACUCCUGACUGACCGAUAGUGAACCAGUACCGUGAGGGAAAGGCGAAAAGAACCCCGGCGAGGGGAGUGAAAAAGAACCUGAAACCGUGUACGUACAAGCAGUGGGAGCCUCUUUAUGGGGUGACUGCGUACCUUUUGUAUAAUGGGUCAGCGACUUAUAUUCUGUAGCAAGGUUAACCGAAUAGGGGAGCCGAAGGGAAACCGAGUCUUAACUGGGCGUUAAGUUGCAGGGUAUAGACCCGAAACCCGGUGAUCUAGCCAUGGGCAGGUUGAAGGUUGGGUAACACUAACUGGAGGACCGAACCGACUAAUGUUGAAAAAUUAGCGGAUGACUUGUGGCUGGGGGUGAAAGGCCAAUCAAACCGGGAGAUAGCUGGUUCUCCCCGAAAGCUAUUUAGGUAGCGCCUCGUGAAUUCAUCUCCGGGGGUAGAGCACUGUUUCGGCAAGGGGGUCAUCCCGACUUACCAACCCGAUGCAAACUGCGAAUACCGGAGAAUGUUAUCACGGGAGACACACGGCGGGUGCUAACGUCCGUCGUGAAGAGGGAAACAACCCAGACCGCCAGCUAAGGUCCCAAAGUCAUGGUUAAGUGGGAAACGAUGUGGGAAGGCCCAGACAGCCAGGAUGUUGGCUUAGAAGCAGCCAUCAUUUAAAGAAAGCGUAAUAGCUCACUGGUCGAGUCGGCCUGCGCGGAAGAUGUAACGGGGCUAAACCAUGCACCGAAGCUGCGGCAGCGACACUAUGUGUUGUUGGGUAGGGGAGCGUUCUGUAAGCCUGCGAAGGUGUACUGUGAGGUAUGCUGGAGGUAUCAGAAGUGCGAAUGCUGACAUAAGUAACGAUAAAGCGGGUGAAAAGCCCGCUCGCCGGAAGACCAAGGGUUCCUGUCCAACGUUAAUCGGGGCAGGGUGAGUCGACCCCUAAGGCGAGGCCGAAAGGCGUAGUCGAUGGGAAACAGGUUAAUAUUCCUGUACUUGGUGUUACUGCGAAGGGGGGACGGAGAAGGCUAUGUUGGCCGGGCGACGGUUGUCCCGGUUUAAGCGUGUAGGCUGGUUUUCCAGGCAAAUCCGGAAAAUCAAGGCUGAGGCGUGAUGACGAGGCACUACGGUGCUGAAGCAACAAAUGCCCUGCUUCCAGGAAAAGCCUCUAAGCAUCAGGUAACAUCAAAUCGUACCCCAAACCGACACAGGUGGUCAGGUAGAGAAUACCAAGGCGCUUGAGAGAACUCGGGUGAAGGAACUAGGCAAAAUGGUGCCGUAACUUCGGGAGAAGGCACGCUGAUAUGUAGGUGAAGUCCCUCGCGGAUGGAGCUGAAAUCAGUCGAAGAUACCAGCUGGCUGCAACUGUUUAUUAAAAACACAGCACUGUGCAAACACGAAAGUGGACGUAUACGGUGUGACGCCUGCCCGGUGCCGGAAGGUUAAUUGAUGGGGUUAGCGCAAGCGAAGCUCUUGAUCGAAGCCCCGGUAAACGGCGGCCGUAACUAUAACGGUCCUAAGGUAGCGAAAUUCCUUGUCGGGUAAGUUCCGACCUGCACGAAUGGCGUAAUGAUGGCCAGGCUGUCUCCACCCGAGACUCAGUGAAAUUGAACUCGCUGUGAAGAUGCAGUGUACCCGCGGCAAGACGGAAAGACCCCGUGAACCUUUACUAUAGCUUGACACUGAACAUUGAGCCUUGAUGUGUAGGAUAGGUGGGAGGCUUUGAAGUGUGGACGCCAGUCUGCAUGGAGCCGACCUUGAAAUACCACCCUUUAAUGU
This 2194-nucleotide ribosomal RNA is filed under the name Escherichia coli. RNAcentral describes it as "partial 23S ribosomal RNA". It matches the Rfam family "Bacterial large subunit ribosomal RNA", at positions 1 to 2213 of the family's 2925-position model. Lineage: Bacteria; Pseudomonadati; Pseudomonadota; Gammaproteobacteria; Enterobacterales; Enterobacteriaceae. The record is from RNAcentral.